CCCUUAGAUGGUCUGGGCGGCACGCGCGCUACAAUGAUGCAUUGAAAAAGUCUUCUGACCUUAGAAGGUUGGGUAUUCUCCAAAGUGCAUCGUGAUGGGAAUAGUUUAUUGCAAUUUUUAAUCUUGAACGAGGAAUUCCUAUUAAGUACAGGUCAUCAACUUGUGUUGAUUACGUCCCUGCCCUUUGUACACACCGCCCGUCGCUCCUACUGAUUGAGUGUCUCGGUGAAUUCUUUGAUCUUCUGUCGAUUCAGUUCACUGAUCCGACGGUGGAAAGUUGAAUGAACUUCGUCACUUAGAGGAAGGAGAAGUCGUAACA
This 319-nucleotide ribosomal RNA is filed under the name uncultured eukaryote. RNAcentral describes it as "partial 18S ribosomal RNA". It matches the Rfam family "Eukaryotic small subunit ribosomal RNA", at positions 1470 to 1796 of the family's 1831-position model. The record is from RNAcentral.